UACGAAGGGGGCAAGCGUUGUUCGGAAUUACUGGGCGUAAAGGGCGCGUAGGCGACUUAUCAAGUCAGGCGUGAAAUUCCCGGGCUCAACCUGGGGGCUGCGCUUGAUACUGAUGAGCUUGAAUGCGGGAGAGGAUAGUGGAAUUCCCAGUGUAGAGGUGAAAUUCGUAGAUAUUGGGAAGAACACCGGUGGCGAAGGCGGCUAUCUGGCCCGUAAUUGACGCUGAGGCGCGAAAGCAUGGGGAGCGAACAGG
Molecule: ribosomal RNA, 253 nt
Filed under: uncultured bacterium
Lineage: Bacteria
Description: partial 16S ribosomal RNA
Rfam family: Bacterial small subunit ribosomal RNA
Source: RNAcentral